UACGUAGGGGGCAAGCGUUGUCCGGAAUCAUUGGGCGUAAAGCGCGCGUAGGCGGCCCGGUAAGUCCGUUGUGAAAGUCAAAGGCUCAACCUUUGAAUGCCGAUGGAUACUGCCGGGCUAGAGUCCGGAAGAGGCGAGUGGAAUUCCCAGUGUAGCGGUGAAAUGCGUAGAUAUUGGGAGGAACACCGGUGGCGAAGGCGGCUCACUGGACCGGAACUGACGCUGAGGCGCGAAAGCGUGGGGAGCAAACAGG
RNAcentral lists this ribosomal RNA (253 nucleotides) under uncultured bacterium. Its description in RNAcentral is "partial 16S ribosomal RNA". It matches the Rfam family "Bacterial small subunit ribosomal RNA", at positions 524 to 776 of the family's 1533-position model. The record is from RNAcentral.